CGGAGAAUACAGAUGAGGAGUUACUCGCACUAGACAGCGAGAGAGCGGGGCAGAAAGCGGAACAGGCAGUGGCGGCUUCAAUGCCAAGGACAUUGACAACCUGGUGGUGCUCUUGUGGAUGUUGUGUCCAAAUGGAUACAGAAGAGGAAAGCCUAUGCUGUAAAGAGUAGGACAUCAUACAGCCUAAUGUGUCCCAGGAUAGCAUACAGUGUGUCACCUGCACAGAGGACUUUCCUCAUCUCAUUCAUCCAUCUGUACUGCAGAUGGUUUUUUUCAUACCGAAAAUAAACUGGAAGAAGAGACCAGCACCAGAGGGGCCUGAUGGAAAGCUUUCCACAGACCAAUGCAGGCUCAUAGCAUAUCACGCAGUGUUGGACUGGGCUCUAAAUGGAGAACAUCUUGGCCCCGGCAACAGGAGGAUAUUGCCUAGUUGUAUUGUAGCAGAGAUCAGACGGAUUAGACGGGCUUCAAAGAUGUAGAGGACAUCUUCUGGGUCUGUUUCUCUGAAUCAUACAGUUGAACUUUAUUGCCAGGAGCCUACGUGUAACAGACUAAAACAUAGAAUUGUUUUGAGGGUAUAGUUAUUUAUUUUCCAACAACAGAUUUGUUAUGACUAUUACAGUAUAAAACAAAAACAAACUUGUUCUUUUGUUUUUUUAUUUGAAUGGCAAAAAGUGCAAAUA
Long non-coding RNA from Acanthopagrus latus (yellowfin seabream), 683 nucleotides. RefSeq lists it as uncharacterized. The transcript is spliced from 2 exons. The record is from RefSeq and is a predicted model, not a curated record. NCBI's taxonomy places the organism in Eukaryota, Metazoa, Chordata, Actinopteri, Spariformes, Sparidae.